Molecule: ribosomal RNA, 847 nt
Filed under: uncultured Chloroflexota bacterium
Lineage: Bacteria; Bacillati; Chloroflexota
Description: bacterial SSU rRNA
Rfam family: Bacterial small subunit ribosomal RNA
Source: RNAcentral
CAGUCGAACGAGAAGGCGUAGCAAUACGCUUGUACAGUGGCGAACGGGUGAGUAAUACGUGGGUAACCUACCCUCGAGUGGGGAAUAACCUGCCGAAAGGCGGGCUAAUACCGCGUACGCUUCCCGGUCUGCGGGCCGGGAAGGAAAGCCAUGCCGUGGGUAUGGCGCUCGAGGAUGGGCUCACGUCCUAUCAGCUAGUUGGUAGGGUAACGGCCUACCAAGGCGACGACGGGUAGCUGGUCUGAGAGGACGAUCAGCCACACUGGCACUGAGAGACGGGCCCGACUCCUACGGGAGGCAGCAGUAAGGGAUAUUGCGCCAAUGGGCGAAAGCCUGACGCAGCAACGCCGCGUGCGGGAAGACGGCCUUCGGGUUGUAAACCGCUUUGGAAGGGGAAGAGGCAGGACGGUACCCUUGGAACAAGUCUCGGCUAACUACGUGCCAGCAGCCGCGGUAAAACGUAGGAGGCGAGCGUUAUCCGGAGUUACUGGGUGUAAAGGGCGUGUAGGCGGCUGGGCAAGACGUGUGUGAAAGCGCUCAGGCUCAACCGGGCGAGGACAUGCGAGACUGCCCAGCUAGAGGCAGGUAGAGGCGCGUGGAAUUCCGGGUGUAGUGGUGAAAUGCGUAGAGAUCCGGAGGAACACCAGUGGCGAAGGCGGCGCGCUGGGCCUGACCUGACGCUGAGGCGCGAAAGCAUGGGGAGCGAACGGGAUUAGAAACCCCGGUAGUCCAUGCUGUAAACGCUGCGGACUAGGUGUGGCGGUGGAAGCUGCCGUGCCGAAGCGAACGUGAUAAGUCCGCCACCUGGGGAGUACGGCCGCAAGGUUAAAACUCAAAGGAAUUGACG